CAGACAGAGAAGCCACUGAAGAGGAAUAGCCUGUUCUUCACAUUGGAGAUAGAAGUGUUUGCCCGCCAUUGCAUCUGUUCGCCUUUGCGCAUUUCUGAAGGCACCGCUCCUGCCAUCCGAUCAUCCUGAGGCCGCCUGCUUCGUGGAUGUGUUCUCUGGCUCUCUAUAAGCCUUGAACAUUUCCUGCAAACGUCUGCACUUGGCCUACACAGCACUUCCAGCAGGACCGGCAGUCUCACCCAAGAAGCCCUUGUACAGGCAAAGGAACAGAGGACAAAGGAUGGAACCGCAAGGACUCCACUCCCAUCAGGUUGUGGCCCAUGAACGUGUCAGUGGGGCCAGAUGUCCCAGCUGGUGUGCCAGCGAGGUCAUGGACGUUGGACAUUUGGGGCAAAUCAAAGGUGCAAGGACUAUUGAGAAGCAGCCACCACAACAUUGAUACGUUUGAAAGCAUUGCACAGCAGAUGGUGGGCAGAGGACACUGUCGUACGGCCACGGAGUGCAGGAACAAGACAAAGUUGAUGAGAGUGGAGUAUAGACGGGUAGUAGCUCACAACUCUAAAUCCGGCAACAGCAGGACCACUUCCCCAUACUUUGAACAACUGCACAACAUUCUGAGAGGGGAUGCCAGCGUGACUCCGCUGUGAGUGGCCCGAAGUCUGCAUGUGCGUAAUAGCAAUGAUGCACCCCAGACUCCAUCCUCUGGCAAGAACUGCACGGAAACAACAGCUUUGCCAGCAGCACCCCACGUGGGCUCAUCAAGGCAAAGUGAAUCGACCACAAUCAACAGAAGUGACAUCGAGGAAUGUGGACUGUUGGGUAAGACAUCAUCAGCUUACCCCGAAGCAACCACUCGGACUGGUGACAGCAAGCAUGGGUGGAGGCAACGAGUUGCCGAUACAGCUGCCAAUGAAGACCCAGAAGGUCUUGACUGAAGGUCAAGGCCUAUGUGGACAACAACCAGGAAGGUGAGCAGUCAGACGUCUCCAUCUUGACUUUAAACGCCCGAAACUUCUUUCCACCACAUUUCUGUAGCGGUUGAACACCUGGUUGAAACCCAUCUGGAAGUUGUCUAGAUAGCCCCCAUAGGGCUUCAUCAGCCAACAGUGCAUUGGGUAGGCGGCAUCGGCAAGGAUGAGGGGAGGCACCUGAACACCCCUGAUGGUUAUGCUGAGAUUACCAGGAAUGAACACUCCGGCAUCCAUCGCCUGAAAGAUUGCAGAAUUGUGGAAAACAAAAGGAUCAUGAUUCCAUCCACUCCAACCAACCUCAAUGUUAAUGAAACGACCAGUAUGGUCACAAGUCCCUUGCAGUAAGAUUGAGUAAAAACCCUUGUGGUUGAUAUAUUCCUCGCCCUGUCCUGCUGGAUACAUUAUUGGAAUGUGACAUCCAUCAACAACCCCAAUCACCUGAGGGAAACCCAUUUUCAGGAAGCCGUGCAUAAUCUGAAAAAAAAGGCGUGCAAGCUUUAGUGCAAUGGCGCUUUUCCGAUUUUGCGCUAGUCCGAUCACCAUAACAGUUACCCUUGUAAUACCAACACUGUCCACACUAAAAAGAAAAAUUGAAAAACUAACCUCCUGAGAAUUUCCAAUAUUAACAGUUUUGGACAGAAGAAGAUGCUCUAUCUCCAGGCACACCUCUAUGACAAUGUCUCCGAUGGUUGACUUUCCCAGUCCGAAGUUCACCGCUACCUCCCGGUAACACUCCAUUGUUGCCAGCCACUAAACAACAACAGCCAGCCUCUUCUCAACCGGAAUGGCACUAUGCAUAUUGGUUCCUUGUCUUUCAAGAUGGGGUUGAAGAAGAUCUGCCAUUUCGUACAAGGUAGCCCAAGUCAUACGAAAGUUGGCUGGCCAUAGAUUAUCAUCCCAGUGUUGCAAAACUUCAGUCUCCCACCAGGAUCUUGCAUGAUCGUGAACCCAAACCCUGCGAGGGAUAUUUCCACCCAAAGUGCUGCAGGCCAUGACUGCCAACUUUUUCAAAGGGGACCCCCUACAUUUGUUGCGGUCAUGCAGCUGCUUGUGGCUUUUUUCCCAUAUCAUAUGAAGCAGCUUAUCCUCCUCCGCCCCCCCUUCUUGCUCUGCCGACAGGAACUGAAGGAAAACAUCCCUCAGCUGCACAAGGCACAAAUUUAAAAGCCGUAAGUGGAGCUGAACUAGAGCCAAAAACACUGUUACCUCCAUUGUAGCCAUAACUAAUAGAGUAUCAGGAAAUUCAAACUUUCGCACUUCUGCGUUCAAGGCAAGCACAUGCGCACAACUGAUAAACGUGCAAGGGGACAGAGGAGUACACAUCAUGUUUUACCAACCAAUUCGAUGAGAGUGGGUUGUGUCAGGGGCGGGGCUUGAAAAAAAGCAAGAAGAAUGCCAAACCUUUUGGCUGCAUGUGUGGCUCAAAAAAAAGUGUGCUUUGCAGAUCGGGAAAGAGCAGGAAAGGAGCGGGAAAAGGGGCAAGUGGGGACUCUUGGGUGACAGAGCGGGUAUGGAAAACCUGGAUUAUCCCGCUCCAUUUGGAUGAGCCCAAAGUAUAGCAAUGGCAAAGAAUUUCCCCUUCCUUCUGUUGUUAUGAGGGCAAUUCCCAGGCCACACCUCCAAAGAGCUCAAAGCACAUUCUUUGUAGCUAGCCAGGAGAAGGGUGUGUUUGCUAGUUUGGGUUAUUGGUUUUUAUUGAGAUUUGUUAAGAGA
Rhineura floridana is the source of this 2684-nucleotide long non-coding RNA. RefSeq lists it as uncharacterized. Lineage: Eukaryota; Metazoa; Chordata; Lepidosauria; Squamata; Rhineuridae. The transcript has 5 exons. The record is from RefSeq and is a predicted model, not a curated record.